UGUGAGUGAAGAAGGCCUUCGGGCCGUAAAGCUCUGUCAAGUGGGAAUAAAGUCUCUCGGUGAAUACCCGAGAGAUCUGAAGGUACCACUAAAGGGAACACCGGCUAACUCCGUGCCAGCAGCCGCGGUAAUACGGAGGGUGCAAGCGUUAUUCGGAUUUAUUGGGCGUAAAGAGCGUGUAGGCGGUUGGGAUAGUCAGAUGUGAAAGCCUUCUGCUCAACAGAAGAAGUACGUCUGAAACUGCCCAACUUGAGUACGAGAGAGGAAAGUGGAAUUCCCAAUGUAGAGGUGAAAUUCGUAGAUAUUGGGAGGAACACCUGUGGCGAAGGCGACUUUCUGGAUCGAUACUGACGCUGAGACGCGAAAGCGUGGGUAGCAAACAGGAUUAGAUACCCUGGUAGUCCACGCUGUAAACGAUGGGAACUAGGUGUAGCGGGUAUUGAUCCCUGCUGUGCCAAAGCUAACGCAUUAA
Molecule: ribosomal RNA, 472 nt
Filed under: uncultured delta proteobacterium
Lineage: Bacteria; Deltaproteobacteria
Description: bacterial SSU rRNA
Rfam family: Bacterial small subunit ribosomal RNA
Source: RNAcentral